GACUGCUCAUCCAAUCCAUAAAGUUAUAUUAACAGACUGGAGCUGUUUGCAGACAAAGUUCCAAAGACAGCAGAAAACUUUUGUGCUCUGAGCACUGGGGAGAAAGGCUUUGGUUAUAAAGGUUCCUGCUUUCACAGAAUAAUUCCAGGAUUUAUGUGCCAGGGUGGUGACUUCACACGCCAUAAUGGCACUGGUGGCAAGUCCAUCUAUGAGGAGAAAUUUGAUGAUGAGAAUUUCCUCCUGAAGCGUACGGGUCCUGGCAUCUUUUCCAUGGUAAAUGCUGACCCCAACACAAACGGUUCCCAGUUUUUCAUCUGCACUGCCAAGACUGAGUGGUUGGAUGGCAAGCCUGUGGUCUUUGGCAAGGUGAAAGAGGGCAUGAAUAUUGCUGAAGCCAUGGAGCGCUUUGGGUCCAGGAAUGGCAAGACCAGCAAGAAGACCACCAUUGCUGACUGUGGACAAAUCUAAUAAUAAAUUUGACUUGUGUUUUAUCUUUAAAAAAAAAAA
RNA transcript from Aethalodelphis obliquidens (Pacific white-sided dolphin), 507 nucleotides. It is a transcript of the gene named peptidyl-prolyl cis-trans isomerase A pseudogene, with no coding region annotated. The transcript has a single exon. Lineage: Eukaryota; Metazoa; Chordata; Mammalia; Artiodactyla; Delphinidae. The record is from RefSeq and is a predicted model, not a curated record.